RNAcentral lists this ribosomal RNA (1494 nucleotides) under Melymacra apicalis. RNAcentral's name for it is "SSU rRNA". It matches the Rfam family "Eukaryotic small subunit ribosomal RNA", at positions 425 to 1805 of the family's 1831-position model. The record is from RNAcentral. Lineage: Eukaryota; Metazoa; Arthropoda; Insecta; Hemiptera; Miridae.
GCAGCAGGCACGCCAAAUUACCCACUCCCGGCACGGGGAGGUAGUGACAAAAAAUAACGAUACGGGACUCAUAUGAGGCCCCGUAAUCGGAAUGAGUACACUUUAAAUCCUUUAACAAGGAUCCAUUGGAGGGCAAGUCUGGUGCCAGCAGCCGCGGUAAUUCCAGCUCCAAUAGCGUAUAUUAAAGUUGUUGCGGUUAAAAAGCUCGUAGUUGGUUCUGCGUGCUACGCUGUCGGUUCGCCGCCUGCCGGUGUAACUGGCAUGCCGUGGCAUGUCCUGUCGGUGGCGUUCGGGUGCCUUGUCUAGGUGAGACCUCCGAACCGUAAGGGACGGGUGGUUAUUCAACCGGAGGUUUCCCCGUUCGCCUACUCUAUCCUACCUAGGUGCUCUUCACCGAGUGUCGAGGUAGGCCGACACGUUUACUUUGAACAAAUUAGAGUGCUCAAAGCAGGCUGAAAUUUCUGCCUGAAUAGUGGUGCAUGGAAUAAUAAAACAGGACCUCGGUUCUAUUUUGUUGGUUCUUAGGAACACGAGGUAAUGAUCAAUACGGACAGGCGGGGGCAUUCGUAUUGCGACGUUAGACUUGGCAAAUGCUUUCGCGGUGAAAUUCUUGGAUCGUCGCAAGACGCACAAGAGCGAAAGCAUUUGCCAAGUAUGUCUUGAUUGAUCAAGAACGAAAGUUAGAGGUUCGAAGGCGAUCAGAUACCGCCCUAGUUCUAACCAUAAACGAUGCCAGCCAGCGAAUCCGUCGAUGUUCCUCCGAUGACUCGACGGGGAGCUUUUUCCCGGGAAACCAAAGCUUUUGGGUUCCGGGGGAAGUAUGGUUGCAAAGCUGAAACUUAAAGGAAUUGACGGAAGGGCACCACCAGGAGUGGAGCCUGCGGCUUAAUUUGACUCAACACGGGAAACCUCACCAGGCCAGGACAUUGGAAGGAUUGACAGAUUGAUAGCUCUUUCUUGAUUCAGUGGGUAGUGGUGCAUGGCCGUUCUUAGUUGGUGGAUCGAUUUGUCUGGUUAAUUCCGAUAACGAACGAGACUCUAGCUUAUUAACUAGGCGUUUUCCGGUGCCCUCGUCACCGGCGACACUCAUUCUUCUUAAGGGGACAAGCGGCUUAUAGCCGCACGAGAUUGAGCAAUAACAGGUCUGUGAUGCCCUUAGAUGUCCUGGGCCGCACGCGCGCUACACUGAAAGAAUCAGCGUGUGCCUCCCUGGCCGAAAGGCCCGGGUAAUCCGCUGAACCUCUUGCGUGCUAGGAAUUGGGGCUUGCAAUUGUUCCCCAUGAACGAGGAAUUCCCAGUAAGCGCGAGUCAUAAGCUCGCGUUGAUUACGUCCCUGCCCUUUGUACACACCGCCCGUCGCUACUACCGAUUGAAUGAUUUAGUGAGGUCUUCGGACUGGCAGUAAUCCCUACCGACUCGUCGAUAUCGAUGAAUGCUGGAAAGAUGACCAAACUUGAUCAUUUAGAGGAAGUAAAAGUCGUAACAAGGUUUCCG